UAGCUAGUUGGUAGGGUAAAGGCCUACCAAGGCGACGAUCGGUAGCUGGUCUGAGAGGAUGACCAGCCACACUGGAACUGAGACACGGUCCAGACUCCUACGGGAGGCAGCAGUGGGGAAUAUUGGACAAUGGGGGCAACCCUGAUCCAGCAAUGCCGCGUGUGUGAAGAAGGCCUGAGGGUUGUAAAGCACUUUCAGUGGGGAGGAGGAUAUUUUGGUUAAGAGCUGAGAUAUUGGACGUUACCUACAGAAGAAGCACCGGCUAACUCCGUGCCAGCAGCCGCGGUAAUACGGAGGGUGCGAGCGUUAAUCGGAAUUACUGGGCGUAAAGAGUGCGUAGGUGGUUAUUUAAGUUAUCUGUGAAAUCCCUGGGCUCAACCUGGGCAGGUCAGAUAAUACUGGAUGACUCAAGUAUAGGAGAGGGUAGUGGAAUUUCCGGUGUAGCGGUGAAAUGCGUAGAGAUCGGAAGGAACACCAGUGGCGAAGGCGGCUACCUGGCCUGAUACUGACACUGAGGCACGAAAGCGUGGGGAGCAAACAGGAUUAGAUACCCUGGUAGUCCACGCCGUAAACGAUGUCAACUAGCUGUUGGUUAUAUAAAAAUAAUUAGUGGCGC
RNAcentral lists this ribosomal RNA (616 nucleotides) under uncultured Legionella sp. RNAcentral describes it as "bacterial SSU rRNA". It matches the Rfam family "Bacterial small subunit ribosomal RNA", at positions 242 to 849 of the family's 1533-position model. The record is from RNAcentral. Lineage: Bacteria; Pseudomonadati; Pseudomonadota; Gammaproteobacteria; Legionellales; Legionellaceae.